This 497-nucleotide ribosomal RNA is filed under the name uncultured bacterium. Its description in RNAcentral is "partial 16S ribosomal RNA". It matches the Rfam family "Bacterial small subunit ribosomal RNA", at positions 28 to 507 of the family's 1533-position model. The record is from RNAcentral.
GAUGAACGCUGGCGGCGUGCCUAAUACAUGCAAGUCGAGCGAACGGACGAGAAGCUUGCUUUUCUGAUGUUAGCGGCGGACGGGUGAGUAACACGUGGAUAACCUACCUAUAAGACUGGGAUAACUUCGGGAAACCGGAGCUAAUACCGGAUAAUAUUUUGAACCGCAUGGUUCAAAAGUGAAAGACGGUCUUGCUGUCACUUAUAGAUGGAUCCGCGCUGCAUUAGCUAGUUGGUAAGGUAACGGCUUACCAAGGAAACGAUGCAUAGCCGACCUGAGAGGGUGAUCGGCCACUCUGGAACUGAGACACGGUCCAGACUCCUACGGGAGGCAGCAGUAGGGAAUCUUCCGCAAUGGGCGAAAGCCUGACGGAGCAACGCCGCGUGAGUGAUGAAGGUCUUCGGAUCGUAAAACUCUGUUAUUAGGGAAGAACAUAUGUGUAAGUAACUGUGCACAUCUUGACGGUACCUAAUCAGAAAGCCACGGCUAACUACGUG